Molecule: microRNA precursor, 82 nt
Filed under: Anolis carolinensis (green anole)
Lineage: Eukaryota; Metazoa; Chordata; Lepidosauria; Squamata; Anolidae
Description: mir-17 microRNA precursor family
Rfam family: mir-17 microRNA precursor family
About the family: This family represents the microRNA (miRNA) precursor mir-17, family, which includes mir-20, mir-91, and mir-103. miRNAs are transcribed as ~70nt precursors (modelled here) and subsequently processed by the Dicer enzyme to give a ~22nt product. In this case the mature sequence comes from the 3' arm of the precursor. The extents of the hairpin precursors are not generally known and are estimated based on hairpin prediction.
Source: Rfam by way of RNAcentral
CUUCCUGUGCUAAGGUGCAUCUAGUGCAGUUAGUGAAGUAGCUUAGAAUCUACUGCCCUGAAUGCUCCUUCUGGCAUAGGAG